AGCAGCCCCACGUUGGGCGCCAAAUUGUAGCCAUGUUUAUACAGUUCGGCUCUGGGCUGCUGCUCAAGACGACACAAGGCAAUGGUGAUGAAAUGAAUUUUAUUAUGUGAAGAAUGAAGCUGUUGCUGAGGUCAAACCUGAGAAGGGAAAGAAUGUUUCCAGCUCAGCAACAGCAAGUGGAGUCAUAAAAAUUAAACUCAAGAAUUUAUAAAGUAAAGAGGCAGAUGGAAACAGAUUAGAAAAAUGGCCAUACCUGAGAAGGGAAAGAAUGUUUCCAGCUCAGCAACAGCAAGUGGAGUGAGGUGGAAAACAGGUGUCCAAAGGAUGUAAGGUCAGAGGACAAAAUAGCCAAUUAGAAAGUAGGUAGCACAUCAAAGGAAGUCUUUGAUGUGACCUAUUAAUA
Molecule: long non-coding RNA, 403 nt
Organism: Haliotis rubra (blacklip abalone)
Lineage: Eukaryota; Metazoa; Mollusca; Gastropoda; Lepetellida; Haliotidae
Exons: 2
Source: RefSeq, a predicted model, not a curated record